Scatophagus argus is the source of this 874-nucleotide long non-coding RNA. RefSeq lists it as uncharacterized. NCBI's taxonomy places the organism in Eukaryota, Metazoa, Chordata, Actinopteri, Scatophagidae. The record is from RefSeq and is a predicted model, not a curated record. The transcript has 4 exons.
GGGCAGUGAUGAGCUUAUUAAAUCUUAGUGCACCACAUUGAGACACCUUCAAAACCUUACUUGGCCAAAGGUGAUUUGGCCAAGUAUGAUCAUGUGAUCAUGUGAUUUCCUGCUUUGUCUGCAUCUCUAAUGGACUGAUGGAUAAAUAACAUUUUCUGCAGUGUGAUAACAAAAUGCCAGAGAUAAUGUAUCCUUAAAUGAGUAACAUUUCUUAUCCAAGAGCCAAGCACCGGAUCCCAGUGUACUAUCAGUCCUAAUAAUGAGUGAUUCUUGGUCAUGUUAUCUUCCCCCUCCGGUCUUCCCAUGGGCCCAGAGGAGAUGAUAAGGUGAUGUCAUACCUCCGCUUCCUGGGGAUAGUGGUUUGUGUUGCAGGGAACUUGGCUGCUGUCAGGCUAGGGGACUCCCAGAGGAAGCCAAUCCUUGUUCAGUUUACAGUGAAUGAUUCCCUUCCUGCCCUGCACAGCCCUGCAGGCCAGUGGCUAACCAGUAAUAUGGAACUUGUUGGAGCCAUGAAUCAGCUCCAGUCCUCCCCAACAUCUUUAACCACGUUCCAGCGUUUCCUCCAGGAUCUUUUUCCUGGCACGGCCUCUGAAACAGCAUUUCAGGCCAUGUUUUGUUUCAGCCGUUAUGCAUUAAGUAUGGAUUGUAUGAAUAAUGCUUCUAAAAACUUGACUGGGGUCUUUUUCUGCAUUGUGCUGGUGUCACCUGUAACAACUUCAUGUUUUAAUAGGAAAGUAGCAGCUUCAUUUAAACUGAGCAAAAUUGUUUUUCCUUAAAGCCUAAUUCGCCAAAUAAUAUUUGAAUGAUUGCAAACCAACCCAAAGUGUUGACGACCUGGCAACGAUACUCAACAAUCACCAAGCUUUCUCAAGAA